UGAGAGUUUGCGAUAAUCUUCAUUUUAGAAUUUAACAAAUGAGGAGUCACAGACUUGAUU
Molecule: microRNA precursor, 60 nt
Filed under: Tribolium castaneum (red flour beetle)
Lineage: Eukaryota; Metazoa; Arthropoda; Insecta; Coleoptera; Tenebrionidae
Description: Tca-Mir-11619-P4_pre stem-loop
Source: RNAcentral